CUUUACCAUGGACCCACCAAAGGGAGAGAAGGAAGAAGAGAUGGUGGAAGCAGGCCAUGCCACUUCUCUCGGGGUCAGAAUUCAGAAGAAGGAAGGGAGAAAAGAAACCUUGGAUUUAAGCCAGGUGGAGGAGACCUGAAGAAGUCUGUCAGCAAGCCCUCAGCAAUUGUGGAAGCCGACAUGGAGAUGGAGUCUUCAUCAAUCCAAGUCCUUGAGUGACCGUGAUGAA
This is a long non-coding RNA of Odocoileus virginianus texanus, 229 nucleotides long. RefSeq lists it as uncharacterized. The record is from RefSeq and is a predicted model, not a curated record. NCBI's taxonomy places the organism in Eukaryota, Metazoa, Chordata, Mammalia, Artiodactyla, Cervidae.